AGAGUUUGAUCCUGGCUCAGAACGAACGCUGGCGGCAGGCUUAACACAUGCAAGUCGAGCGCCCCGCAAGGGGAGCGGCAGACGGGUGAGUAACGCGUGGGAAUCUACCCUGAACUGCGGAAUAGCUCCGGGAAACUGGAAUUAAUACCGCAUGUGCCCUGAGGGGCAAAGAUUUAUCGGUUCAGGAUGAGCCCGCGUCCGAUUAGCUAGUUGGUGGGGUAAAGGCCUACCAAGGCGACGAUCGGUAGCUGGUCUAAGAGGAUGAUCAGCCACAUUGGGACUGAGACACGGCCCAAACUCCUACGGGAGGCAGCAGUGGGGAAUAUUGGACAAUGGGCGCAAGCCUGAUCCAGCCAUGCCGCGUGAGUGAUGAAGGCCCUAGGGUUGUAAAGCUCUUUCGUCGAGUGCGCGAUCAUGACAGGACUCGAGGAAGAAGCCCCGGCUAACUCCGUG
RNAcentral lists this ribosomal RNA (453 nucleotides) under uncultured Aurantimonas sp. RNAcentral's name for it is "bacterial SSU rRNA". It matches the Rfam family "Bacterial small subunit ribosomal RNA", at positions 8 to 507 of the family's 1533-position model. The record is from RNAcentral. Lineage: Bacteria; Pseudomonadati; Pseudomonadota; Alphaproteobacteria; Hyphomicrobiales; Aurantimonadaceae.